Molecule: non-coding RNA, 594 nt
Organism: Camellia sinensis
Lineage: Eukaryota; Viridiplantae; Streptophyta; Magnoliopsida; Ericales; Theaceae
Source: RefSeq, a predicted model, not a curated record
AAUAGCAAGAAGAAAAAGAUGGAGAGGUUCCAAGGGUUCUGCAUCUGUAUACAGCCGAAAGAUUAUCAUCAUUUGGAGAGCUGGCACUAAUGAAUAACAAACCACUCCAGGCCUCUGUCCGUGCUGUGACAAGUGGAACUCUUUGGGCUUUAAAAAGGGACGAUUUUCGAGGAAUUCUUACGUCAAAAUUUUCAAAUUUAUCAUCAUUGAAGUUGCUUUGAUCAGUAGAUCUACUCUCGAGGUUGACAAUCUUACAGCUGAGUCACAUUGCAGAAUCUCUUUCUGAAGUUUCCUUUUCUGAUGGGCAGAUAAUAGCUGAUAGGGAUGAGGCCUUCUUGGGAUUGUACAUUAUCGAGAAGGGACAAGUUAGAAUUAUUGUUGAUUACAUUACGGAGAAGUAAUUUGAUUCUGACAAUACAAUUGCAGCAAAUAAAAGCUUUUCUUGAGAGUGUUGGGACUUCUUUCUGCCCUGAUUAUUUCGACUGGUUUGGAAAUGGUGCAACUGAUUCACAUUCCAGAAAUGCUGAUCAAUCUGUGCUUUCAAAAUUUUUACAAGCACAUCUUGCUGAUUUUUCUACCACUAAAUUGCAAGUC